This is an RNA transcript of Manis pentadactyla (Chinese pangolin), 2071 nucleotides long. It is a transcript of the gene named C-C motif chemokine 8-like, with no coding region annotated. The record is from RefSeq and is a predicted model, not a curated record. NCBI's taxonomy places the organism in Eukaryota, Metazoa, Chordata, Mammalia, Pholidota, Manidae. The transcript has 2 exons.
GCCUCUCUCCCUCAUUUCCUAACAUUUCCUCAUAGCUAGGUUAUGGCUCAGCAGAUUAUUACUCCAUCAUGUGGUUCAUUCAGAACAAGGCCCUCUCACCUACUCUCUUUCUCCCUAUUCCCAUCUGCUUCCUAUAAAAGGGACGCAGAGCCACCAGAGCAGCAGACAGGCUGAGACAGCCCAGAAACCUCCCGCUCUCAGCUGCAGCUCCCACGCUCACCCUCCAGCAUGAAGGGCUCCGCCGUCCUGCUGUGCCUGAUGCUCACAGCAGCCGCCUUCAGCGCCCAGGUGCUCGCUCAGCCGGCUUCAAGACCAGAGGGGGCAAGGAGAUCUGUAUUGACCCCAAGAAGAAGUGGGUGCAGAAUAUCACGAAAUACCUGGACAGAAGAAAACCAGAAAACACAAACACACUUAGAAGUUUUGAACACUCUUUCCUGCACUGAAGUCAAGCCAAUACCUGGGAAACAACUAAUUUGUAUUCUCUACCCUUUCAAAGAUGUGUUCUGAGAUUAUUUUAUUGUAAUUCUAAGGAAUAUGAACUUUGUGUAAUAAUAUGAAUCACUGCUUUUCUUAAGUAAUGUUUUGAUUUUUUUUACUUGUUAUAAUUUUAAUUUAAUGUGCCAUGGAAUUGGAUAGAUUUUAAAUGUAAACCCUUGGACAUCAUGAAGUGACAUCCUGUCCCCCCAAAACUGCAGGACCCUCCUCUUCUAUCUCAGUGUAGGACUGUGAAGGUCCUUUUGCAAAAAUCAAUGCAAAUACAGAUAUUUUUAAUUUUUAGGAAGUGAUUUCCACGUGAAAUCAUAAUGUUAUUAUAGAAAGGAAUGUUUUAUAUGUACCACUCUUUAAUUUUCACAUAGAAUAUAUUUGUGCAUAAAACCUGACUUUGAUGGCUUUUUUUAAAGGGUCAGAUAAAGCUGAUGAAAGUAAUAGGGGUUAGAGGAUUGGCUUCAGAAGGUGGGGUUCAUGUUCUGGAGGAAUGAAUACAGUUUGGACCCUGGGAUUGCCCCCAAGCUGGGCUCACUUGCAUGUCAAGGAGAGUCAGGUAGGUUGAAGUCAGCUUCAGCCAUUUACUCAAAUCCUUCCUGCCUUUCCAAAGUCAUUCCUUUUCUCACCAUCCCAUGCCCUGCACAAAAGUCUCCUCCCAUCUAUUGCACCAGCCUUCUAUUUCCCCGUUCCACCCCACUGUUGAAUGCAGAAUAACACAAACACUACUGAGAAAUCAGGAGGGGAUUGACAAAUGACCUCAUGCAUUCCCGUCCACAUCUAGAAACCAGGUGUCUUGAAAAUUUCUAUCUCUACAGGUUGAGGAACAGCAAGGAGGGUAAAAAUUCUGUACCCAAGGCAGGAUACUGACAAAACUUGGUAUCUGCAAGCUGAGCUUCUUGGAGGCAGUGGAUUUGUAUCAAAGGACCAGUAAAAAAUCUCAGGGUGUCAGGAGGAAUCAGACAUCUUGUGGCAAGCAGACAGUUUAUUGGUGACCAUUUGCUGCCAUCACUGGUGUCCAGGCCAGUUCCAAAAGCCCUUUCUGCCUCUCCUCCAGCCCAGCAGUCCUCAUUCCCAAAGACCAAUAAUGAGCCCAAACUCAGAUUCCAGUGGAGAACGGCUAGGGAUAGGAGGGGAAAUAGAUGCUAUAGAACAAGACACAGCAAACCCUCUGUUCCAGGCAUGUAUUACCAGAGUGUCAGGCAGUAGGACAGGCAAGGGGAGAUGGGCUCCAGGUGCCCAAGAUCAAGCAGAAUCUGCCCACACUCUCUUUGUCAAGCAAUGUCUUUUCAUUUUUAAAGAAUUCUAAACUCAUUUGUUCUCAUGAAGGUCUGGAAUCUCUAGUCCCCUUCAGGCACAGAGUGUUAGAGAGAAAUUCCAAACUGCAACCGGGAAUAGUCUGAUACAUAACUGGGCAUAGAGUUUAAUGGGACUCAAAGAUUAAACUGGUUUUACCACUAAUGUGCCUGGUAAAUUUGGGUGAGUUGCUUUUCCUGAGUGGAGAGUCACAGUAGGUCAGUGUUAAUGAGACCCACGGAGCUGGUCUCAUAUUGUCAUCAACACCAAUUAGACACUGAAGAAAACAUGG